RNAcentral lists this ribosomal RNA (254 nucleotides) under uncultured bacterium. RNAcentral's name for it is "partial 16S ribosomal RNA". It matches the Rfam family "Bacterial small subunit ribosomal RNA", at positions 524 to 776 of the family's 1533-position model. The record is from RNAcentral.
UACAGAGGGUGCGAGCGUUGUCCGGAAUCACUGGGCGUAAAGGGCGCGUAGGUGGUGGCUUAAGCGUGCGGUGAAAGCUCGGGGCUCAACUCCGAGUCGGCCGUGCGAACUGGGCUCACUGGAGCAUAGUAGAGGCAGGUGGAAUUCCGGGUGUAGCGGUGGAAUGCGUAGAGAUCCGGAAGAACACCGGUGGCGAAGGCGGCCUGCUGGGCUAUGGCUGACACUGAGGCGCGAAAGCGUGGGGAGCGAACAGG